This 389-nucleotide ribosomal RNA is filed under the name uncultured bacterium. RNAcentral describes it as "bacterial SSU rRNA". It matches the Rfam family "Bacterial small subunit ribosomal RNA", at positions 28 to 420 of the family's 1533-position model. The record is from RNAcentral.
GACGAACGCUGGCGGCGUGCUUAACACAUGCAAGUCGAACGGAAAGGCCCCUUCGGGGGUACUCGAGUGGCGAACGGGUGAGUAACACGUGGGUGAUCUACCCUGCACUUCGGGAUAAGCCUGGGAAACUGGGUCUAAUACCGGAUAUGACCACGAGAUGCAUGUCUUGUGGUGGAAAGCUUUUGCGGUGUGGGAUGGGCCCGCGGCCUAUCAGCUUGUUGGUGGGGUGACGGCCUACCAAGGCGACGACGGGUAGCCGGCCUGAGAGGGUGUCCGGCCACACUGGGACUGAGAUACGGCCCAGACUCCUACGGGAGGCAGCAGUGGGGAAUAUUGCACAAUGGGCGCAAGCCUGAUGCAGCGACGCCGCGUGGGGAUGACGGCCUCGG